Molecule: long non-coding RNA, 1021 nt
Organism: Manis pentadactyla (Chinese pangolin)
Lineage: Eukaryota; Metazoa; Chordata; Mammalia; Pholidota; Manidae
Exons: 2
Source: RefSeq, a predicted model, not a curated record
GUCAUCCAGCCCGGGAACGGGGGUGGAGGCGAGGCCAGCGAGAAAGGGGGAGCAGGAGGGAGCGAGUCAGCUGGGCCAGGAAGGCGGAGAGAGCGCCGGGUGCCGGGCAGGGGCGCUCGCCUCUCGCGGGCUCGGCUCGCUUUUCCGGCCGCCGCCGAGGCCGUUUCUCUCUCCUGAUUGCCCUGUAACCCCGACCCCGGGAGAGCCGGGCGGACGGCAGAGCAUUCUGCGAGCUGCCCUUCAGCCGCUGGGCGCCACGAAAGCCGGCAGCGGCGACGGAGAGGCGAGCGCUGAGGACAGGCUUGCGCGCUCUGCAGCCCCACGUGGAGCCAAGCUCCGCCCGGCCGCCGCUACAGAGCUCCCGAGCUCGGGUGUCUCUCGGUGCCGGUCACCCCAGCUUCUGGGCUCGCGGGCUCAAGAGCACACGGAUGCGGCCGGAUCUCAGUCCACGCGUGCAGGGGGCUCCCUCUCCACGGUGCCCCACACGAAACCGUGCGCGGAGACCCAAACAAACCCCGCACACCAGUACGCGAACACGCGCCAGCACACUGGGAAAACACGUACACGCAAACACGUACACAGCCUGCGCGGCGCGCCCUGCCUGCACUCACUCGCCGAGGAGGACUCGUGAGGUUUGGAAAUGCAUUUAUCAGCCCUUUUCGAUCUCGUCUUCCAUCCGGAUUCGGGCUCUCGGGAUUACACCUGGAUGUGCGCGAGAGUGUAUAGGGGAAAAUGGAAAUUUGGACAAAACCCCUUGGUCGUCUCUCUCUCUCUCCGCCUCACUGCUCACUGCUCAACAAAAGACACACGGGAAACACUGAAUGAGCCUGCCCCUCGGAAGAGUCUGAAAGUGGUGCGUUAAGGGCAGGAGAAGCGAGAAGAGACCCACCUUUUGGAUCUCAGAGGGCCCACGGAAAUUUUGGUGUCCUCCAAAUAUUCCUCUCUACCUUUUGCAGAAAAAAGUUUUCACUUAAUUGUAGGCCUGAUUAUUUUCUUAAUUAAAAAAACCCACUUCUCUAUA